Molecule: ribosomal RNA, 531 nt
Filed under: Conicofrontia lilomwa
Lineage: Eukaryota; Metazoa; Arthropoda; Insecta; Lepidoptera; Noctuidae
Description: partial 16S ribosomal RNA
Source: RNAcentral
AUGUCUUUUUGAAAAUAAUAUAAAGUCUAAUCUGCCCACUGAUUUUAAAUUAAAGGGCUGCAGUAUUUUGACUGUACAAAGGUAGCAUAAUCAUUAGUCAUUUAAUUGAUGACUUGAAUGAAGGAUUGGAUGAGAUAUAAACUGUCUCUUAAUUAUAUUUAUAGAAUUUAAUUUUUUUAUUAAAAAGUUAAAAUGAUUUAAAAAGACGAGAAGACCCUAUAGAGUUUUAUAAAUAUUUUAAUUAAGAUUAUUUUGUGAGUUAAUUUUAAAAUUAAAUUAUUUAUUUUAUUGGGGUGAUAGAAAAAUAUAUAAAACUUUUUUUAAAUAUAUAUAUAUAUAUAAAUUAACAUUUAUAAGUGAUUAUAUGAUCCAAUAAUAUUGAUUAUAAGAAAAAAUUACCUUAGGGAUAACAGCGUAAUUUUUUUUUUUAGCUCAAAUAAGAAAAAGAGUUUGCGACCUCGAUGUUGGAUUAAGAUAAAAUUUAAAUGUAGAAGUUUAAAAUUUUGAUCUGUUCGAUCAUUAAAAUCUUAC